Molecule: ribosomal RNA, 1143 nt
Filed under: Modicisalibacter xianhensis
Lineage: Bacteria; Pseudomonadati; Pseudomonadota; Gammaproteobacteria; Oceanospirillales; Halomonadaceae
Description: bacterial SSU rRNA
Rfam family: Bacterial small subunit ribosomal RNA
Source: RNAcentral
ACAUGCAAGUCGAGCGGCAGCGGGAGGUGCUUGCACCUCGCCGGCGAGCGGCGGACGGGUGAGUAAUGCAUAGGAAACUGCCCGGUAGUGGGGGAUAACCUGGGGAAACCCAGGCUAAUACCGCAUACGUCCUACGGGAGAAAGCAGGGGCUCUUCGGACCUUGCGCUAUCGGAUGUGCCUAUGUCGGAUUAGCUGGUUGGUGAGGUAACGGCUCACCAAGGCGACGAUCCGUAGCUGGUCUGAGAGGAUGAUCAGCCACACUGGGACUGAGACACGGCCCAGACUCCUACGGGAGGCAGCAGUGGGGAAUAUUGGACAAUGGGCGAAAGCCUGAUCCAGCCAUGCCGCGUGUGUGAAGAAGGCUUUCGGGUUGUAAAGCACUUUCAGUGGGGAAGAAAGCCUGGCGGUUAAUACCCGUCAGGGACGACAUCACCCACAGAAGAAGCACCGGCUAACUCCGUGCCAGCAGCCGCGGUAAUACGGAGGGUGCGAGCGUUAAUCGGAAUUACUGGGCGUAAAGCGCGCGUAGGCGGCUUGAUAAGCCGGGUGUGAAAGCCCUGGGCUCAACCUGGGAACGGCAUCCGGAACUGUCAAGCUAGAGUGCAGGAGAGGAAGGUAGAAUUCCCGGUGUAGCGGUGAAAUGCGUAGAGAUCGGGAGGAAUACCAGUGGCGAAGGCGGCCUUCUGGACUGACACUGACGCUGAGGUGCGAAAGCGUGGGUAGCAAACAGGAUUAGAUACCCUGGUAGUCCACGCCGUAAACGAUGUCGACUAGCCGUUGGGCUCCUCGCGAGCUUAGUGGCGCAGUUAACGCGAUAAGUCGACCGCCUGGGGAGUACGGCCGCAAGGUUAAAACUCAAAUGAAUUGACGGGGGCCCGCACAAGCGGUGGAGCAUGUGGUUUAAUUCGAUGCAACGCGAAGAACCUUACCUACCCUUGACAUCCUCGGAAUCCGUCGGAGACGACGGAGUGCCUUCGGGAGCCGAGUGACAGGUGCUGCAUGGCUGUCGUCAGCUCGUGUUGUGAAAUGUUGGGUUAAGUCCCGUAACGAGCGCAACCCUUGUCCCUAUUUGCCAGCGAUUCGGUCGGGAACUCUAGGGAGACUGCCGGUGACAAACCGGAGGAAGGUGGGGACGACGUCAG